Molecule: ribosomal RNA, 253 nt
Filed under: uncultured bacterium
Lineage: Bacteria
Description: partial 16S ribosomal RNA
Rfam family: Bacterial small subunit ribosomal RNA
Source: RNAcentral
UACGAAGGGGGCGAGCGUUGUUCGGAUUUACUGGGCGUAAAGGGCGCGCAGGCGGCGAUUUUUGUCAGGCGUGAAAGCCCCGGGCUCAACCUGGGAACUGCGCUUGAAACGGGAUUGCUAGAGAUCGGGAGAGGAGAGUGGAAUUCCCAGUGUAGAGGUGAAAUUCGUAGAUAUUGGGAGGAACACCAGUGGCGAAGGCGGCUCACUGGACCGGAACUGACGCUGAUGCGCGAAAGCGUGGGGAGCAAACGGG